AUGAACGCUGGCGGCGUGCCUAAUACAUGCAAGUCGAGCGAGCAGACGAGGAGCUUGCUCCUCUGACGUUAGCGGCGGACGGGUGAGUAACACGUGGAUAACCUACCUAUAGGACUGGGAUAACUUCGGGAAACCGGAGCUAAUACCGGAUAAUAUAUUGAACCGCAUGGUUCAAUAGUGAAAGACGGUUUUGCUGUCACUUAUAGAUGGAUCCGCGCCGCAUUAGCUAGUUGGUAAGGUAACGGCUUACCAAGGCAACGAUGCGUAGCCGACCUGAGAGGGUGAUCGGCCACACUGGAACUGAGACACGGUCCAGACUCCUACGGGAGGCAGCAGUAGGGAAUCUUCCGCAAAGGGCGAAAGCCUGACGGAGCAACGUCGCGUGAGUGAUGAAGGUCUUCGGAUCGUAAAACUCUGUUAUUAGGGAAGAACAAAUGUGUAAGUAACUAUGCACGUCUUGACGGUACCUAAUCAGAAAGCCACGGCUAACUACGUG
RNAcentral lists this ribosomal RNA (496 nucleotides) under uncultured bacterium. RNAcentral describes it as "partial 16S ribosomal RNA". It matches the Rfam family "Bacterial small subunit ribosomal RNA", at positions 29 to 507 of the family's 1533-position model. The record is from RNAcentral.